GUGUAUAAAGCAGCCAUGUUUUAUGGUACAAUGGUUUAUGGUUUGAAUAUAUGAAUAUAAAAAAUAUUGUUCUUAAUUUUCCCCAUUGGUGGGGUGAAAUAAAUGAACAACCAAUAAGAUUUAAGCUUAUUGGCAGGUCUGGACGAAACAAUUAAUAUAUGUUUAAGAACUGUUGCCAUUUCUUCAACUCGGCCUGUAACCGCCAGAAAACUAAAGAAGAGGAAGAAUUUUUCGUCAACUCGUUUUCAUCCCGCUUGACGCAGUCUCUGCGCAUGCGCAAUGUUAAAUGGACGCAGGUGUUCGGAAUCGAGACGACGACGACGAACUUCAGAUGUGUGGCAGCACAACUAGGUGCUCAUUGAUUGGCAGUGUCGGUUCUGCUUUGCCAAAAGGAGUGAAAUCCAGGAGGAGGAGGAGGUGGUCCAGUCGGAACAUUUUCUAUGCAGAUUUAAAAUCGAAAUUCAACUUCAUUUACCACUUUUGAGUUCAGUCGCAUAUCUGGCAAAAACCUGCAAACCGAAUUUUCAAGAACUGGACAGAUUCACUCAACGGUUCAUUCAUAUCUUCAAGGCCAAAGGGGGAGACAUUGGAUGUAAGCUUAAGAAGAUUCUGCAACAGAUUGAAAAUGAGAAAUCUGAAAUCAUUGGUAGGCGAACAGCCGUUCUUCAUGGCCUUCCACUUCUCCUUAGAGCAGACCCGACUGAUUUUUACAAGACAUGUUUUGACUGUGAUGACAAAGGAGAGAUGUCCGGAAUUUCAAUCGGAAUAUUGUUUGUGAUACCUGAGGACUCUGCAACCGUGCCUUACUGUUUGCAUCUGGAUGCCACAUUCACUGCAAUUAUUUUGGAAGGUAGAGUUGUAAUGGAUGAUCUGGGAAACCUUCCCAAAGCAAUGUGCCUGCUUUUUUGGCUCAUUUAUGCUCUGAAUGUAGAGUAUCCUGCUGUACUGAAGAACAUGUUUGAUUUCUUUCAAAGUGUGAUUGUCACUCGGGGCAAGUCUCUCAAACCUGAAAAAUCGCCUGUUGCUGUAACAUUGUUGUGCCAUGAUUGACCAUUUUUCAGUUUGUUCAGAAUUGACCAUUGCGGAGAUAGAAAAUAGUAAUCAGGAAUGUAAUUUUAUAUUUUAGAAUAUAGUGUAGUCUUUAAAGAAACUUUUAAAAUAAAUAGGAAGGUUGUUCAGUACUAAAAAAACAGAAGAAUCUUUUGUUUCCUGUAGGAAAACGUGCAAUUUGCUUAACAGGGUUAAGUGGUUUGUUUUAGAAAAGGUGCUAAUUUUAGAAAAAAAUGCUGUAUUUCACCACUGUUAGAAAAGGUAAAAAUGUCAAAAAAGGGAGCAUUGAUUGUAUGUAAUUGCUGUAUGUGAAAAAAUGCAGUGUGCUGUGUUGAUUUGAAGGCAUGACAUUGUUUUAUGGAACAAAUAAAUGUCCCAGUGUUGUGUCAAAGA
This is an RNA transcript of Carassius auratus (goldfish), 1443 nucleotides long. RefSeq lists it as uncharacterized. The record is from RefSeq and is a predicted model, not a curated record. The transcript is spliced from 5 exons. NCBI's taxonomy places the organism in Eukaryota, Metazoa, Chordata, Actinopteri, Cypriniformes, Cyprinidae.